RNAcentral lists this ribosomal RNA (366 nucleotides) under Triticum aestivum (bread wheat). Its description in RNAcentral is "partial small subunit ribosomal RNA". Lineage: Eukaryota; Viridiplantae; Streptophyta; Magnoliopsida; Poales; Poaceae. The record is from RNAcentral.
AUGGAGGAGGGUUGGCAUCAUUUAAAUUUAAGCGAGGGGAACAGGUUGAUCAGUAAAGCGGCUUACCACCGGGUGAAGAUGUGUGGAAACUGGAUGUCGAUGGUGCUUUUUUCUUCUUCCAGGAAACGAGAUGAAACAUGUAGGCAAUGGCAUACUACUUGCUGUAUUAGAGAGUUCACUUGCAAGAUCCUGUCGACGGUGGUUGGUGUCAAGACCUUGUCUGAAACUUGUCAAGAAAAGCAACUCAACAACUGGACACUUUUACUGUCGUGUACCUUGAGUAAUAAGGCUAUAAAAGCCAGAGAUCUCCAGCCCCUAGAGCUUCAUCCUCCUUGUGUAUAUCCCAGAGCCAUAUGUGUAUCUUGA